Long non-coding RNA from Lethenteron reissneri (Far Eastern brook lamprey), 2553 nucleotides. RefSeq lists it as uncharacterized. The record is from RefSeq and is a predicted model, not a curated record. NCBI's taxonomy places the organism in Eukaryota, Metazoa, Chordata, Hyperoartia, Petromyzontiformes, Petromyzontidae.
CAAAGUCUUGUCAUGGACUUGUGCUCUGCUUGGGUUUUUUUUAUUUUCGAUGAGAUCAGUGCGAGCAUGGGUUUUGGAAUUCUCCUCUCCCAGCUAACAUCAGUGAGCGACAGUCCUUUGCAGCAGCAGCCCAGUAAAUGGGCACUGCGGAUAAUGGCAAAACCAUCCACGGACAAAGCCCAGUAAAGCCGAGGACAAAGAGAGCAGUGCAAGACAAGGAGAGACAGAGACACGUGGAGCCUACGUGGACACAGAGUUGCACAGACAAAGGUGAGACAGAAUCAGAGUAAUUUAUAUUGGCUGGAGGAGGAAUCCGGUGAGCAAUAAAGCUCUUUUUCACAGAUGUUCAGUAUUGGCGGGUCAGCGAGUUACAACAGCAAAUACAAAAAAUAAAGCUGGGAGUGCAAAAUAGAAAAAUGGUAAGAAAGCCACCGAAUAUAAAUAAAUAUUAAAUGAUGUCUGAUUUAUCAAGAUUGGUCAAAGCUGCAAAAACAGCAAGCAGUACCAGACCACACCAUAAUAACAACACACAGUAGUAGUCCUCAAUAAAAUGGCACGUUAGCAUUGCACUAUUGAUACUACACGGGUAAUCAUCAAAGUAAAUAAUCGCAUUGGCAAAUGUGACUGCUGUAUCCAGCACCGAUCUUCUGCUUCUGAGAUAAAGAGACUCAGAGACGUGGAGACACACAGAGACAGAAACAUAGCGACUGGAAUGUAUUGGCCAACGGUGUUGAAUGAUGCAAUAAAAACAAUAAACAAGAUAUUGGCGUCACAGGAAUGCUGGCUGUGAUGUAAUUUAUUUCACAACGUAUUGAAAUGCCUGCAGUGCAAACAAAGUUUGUUGUUUUAGUGUUUUAUUUUUAUUUAGAUUAUUGGUCCUUUGGGACAAGAGCCAACACAUUGUUUUGUACUUACACGCGAUUAUGUAUUUGCAAGUGCGAAAUGUCAGAUGAAAAUUGUAUGGUUCUACAUCCAAAAUGAAAAUACAAAUAAAUACGUAUUUUCUGUGCACAAAUCGCAGAAGGUAAAUACUACAGAGCGCACUACCGUUGGGAGUAACACAUACACACUUUUCACAGAAAGGUCAGCAAUCAUCUUGGGAGACUAAACCAGGUUACCUACUCAAUGAGCCAUGAAGUAAGACUAAACUUUUUUAGAUUUUAUUUUACCAGCUAAGGCCCACCAAGCUAUGUAGCUCUUUUUCAGAAGCGACUUGGCUAUCAUAAAUGAUAGCUCAACGAAGUGGUGGCUUAUCAUGUGGUCCUCCGGUGUUUCAAUCCACAUUCAGAAUCAACACGUGCUUAGAGUAUUUGGCUGCUAGAAAUGUCUAUGUGAUGAUAAGCCACUUCGUUGAACUAUCAAGUGGCCAGGUCGCUUUUUAAAACGAUCUAUAUUGCUCAGUGGGUCUUACCUGGUAAAAUAAGAAUUGUUUAUUUUUUUUGGUUGUUAUGCAAAUGUAGUAGUAUUUUUCCACUAUCGCGUCUGUCACUCUUCCCUCGAUCACCACCUGUUCCCGAGGACUCGUCGAAACUCAAUUCGAACCGCAAACACGUGAGGCUCGAGUUUUAGUUACUCACCCGGGACGUCCGGGUGAGCCAGUGUCCGUGUGUUUCUCUGUGUGUUUUAUUUGGCAACUGUGAGGAUGGCCAUCUAUUCACUCAUUUCAUGGCUUCAUUUGAAUUUCUGUCUGCUGCGUUCAUUUCAAUGCAUAUCUGUUUAAUUGUUUUAUUGAUGUCUGUGUGUCUAUGUUGGUAAAUUUUUUGGGGAGUGGUAGUUUAGCGGUUAGCGCGCUGCGCUACAAACCCAGUUACCCGAGUUUGAUUCCCGCUCACGGCCAACACCAGUGACGACUAUCUGAACUGGUCAUUCACCUUCCCUAGGUCGACUCAGCCUCAAAUUAGUUCCUGGUGCGAUGUGUAAACAUUGUCACUCAGGAGACAAGGUGGCCGGGCGUGGUGCCAUGCCGGCCUGCAUAUGUGCUCGCUAACAGCAAUUGCCCUAACAGUCUGUUCAGGCUAAACGGGGGAUAUUUGUCUUUGUGUAUUUGUUAUUUCAGUCGUCAGGCGCCUCGUCUGUUGAACUUCUUGCCCCAGUCUGUUAGGGAUGCUCCAUCAGUCGAGGUUUUUAAGGCUCGUCUGAAAACCCAUUUAUUUUCUCUUGCAUAUCCGUCUCCAUUUUAAUGUUAAGGGCUUUUUUACUGGGAUUGUAUUGUAAAGCGCUGCCAAUGCCUUGUGUGAAUGGCGCUAUAUAAAAUUGACUUACUCUCAACCGUGUGUUGUGCGUGUGCCUCAUUGAUUUGAAAAUUUCCGCGGCGCGCCUGGGACUUUGCCGCGACGCACCGGUGUGUGACGGCCACGCACUGGGAUCGACCCGCCUCGUCUCCCCAAACCGAGUUCAACCGCCAACCAACUCGCGUGGGCGGCUUCGUACACUGUGCGAAAGAAGUUCAACAAGCGACCUGGCUAUCACAAAUGAUAGCUCAAGGAAGUGGCUCAUCAUCACGUGGACCUUUGUAGCAGCCAAAUACUCUUAAACGCAUGUUUCUAAAUGUGG